This 1029-nucleotide long non-coding RNA is filed under the name Linum usitatissimum (flax). RNAcentral describes it as "long non-coding RNA (LUSI_LNC002558)". Lineage: Eukaryota; Viridiplantae; Streptophyta; Magnoliopsida; Malpighiales; Linaceae. The record is from RNAcentral.
GAGUCACGAUUCCAUUUACUUUGUGUUGCCCUCCGGGUUUUUCUGGUUCGGUUCGAUUUGGAACGGAAAUCCGGUUUCAAUUUCCUCAAAAAUCAAGCCCUAAAUUCAUUUGUUGUGUCUUGUGUGUGCCGCCUGCUGCUCUUACGAAAAAAAAUCAAAGAAGCCGCCGUCGCCCGUAGCUCGUCUGAUCUCUGUCGAUUCUCGACGGUUGCAAUCGUCCGUCACCAGCCAGCAAGUGCGUCACUGUGUACUUGACCUUAGUCGUCGUAUCUGUCUCUCCCUCGCCGAUCUUCUGGCUCAAAGUCUUCGCCCUGAAUCGGAGAAAGUCGUCGACUCGUCGUUCCCGUCUUCCCGAAUCGAAGGCUGCUGUCCGUCCCUCUUCCCUGCAUCUCCUCCGGCUCGAAGUCGUAGACUUGCCGUUCCCGAAUCGAAGGCUGUUGUCCGCCCCUCUCCCUGCUUGGUCGUAGAAGUGUUGGCCCUUGGGUGAUUGGAUUUGGAAGGUAAUGUCACUUGGGACCUGUUUUAUUUGAUUAUUUCAUUGAAGUUUGGGAGUUGGGACCUGCUUGCCUUGAUUCUUCAAUUCUGCCUCUUGUCCAGUAAUGUAAUAAAUUGCAGUUUUAGUUUCAAUUGGGCAAGGUGAUCAUUUCAAGCAGUAGCAACUAGCAAGAAACCAGCAAAGAAAAAGUCAAAUGCACCGGAUAAUAGAAGCGAUCCGGGUUGGCAACAUGCCCUAGAUGUUGAUGGCACAUUAAGGAAAACCAAAGAAGAGCAUGGAGAUGAUGAAGAUGAAGAUUUAAAUUUUAAUGUUAGAUCUCACGGAUUUGAUGUAAUGUUAUUGUCUAUUUGUGUUUGAAGUAGUAUAUUUGUUCAGAUUUAAGAUAAUUAAUUUAUAGAGGAUAAUGUAUGGAUGAAAAUAAGUUUUUGGGAUUGAUUAUUAUAUUUAAUUUGAGUCUGGAUAAUGAAUUUAUGUAUUUAUGUUAGGGUGGAUGGUCAAAUAUUUAGUCUUAUAGAAAAAUUGUGAAAUCUUAC